RNAcentral lists this long non-coding RNA (346 nucleotides) under Oryza brachyantha (malo sina). RNAcentral's name for it is "long non-coding RNA (OBRA_LNC000459)". The record is from RNAcentral. Lineage: Eukaryota; Viridiplantae; Streptophyta; Magnoliopsida; Poales; Poaceae.
UCCUAUAUGAGAGAUGUCUCUCUCUUUCAUCCUCUAAACGUUUAAAACUUUUGCUAUUGAUUAAACAUUUGAUUUUUUGUUCUUCUGUUAAACACGCGCGCAAUGUAUGGGGGCUUCGGAAAGGGCAUGUACGUUUAAUGAGAACAAAGUACAACGCAGAUGCUCACAACGCACGCACACUCCGCCUGAGAAGGCACGCACGCAAACCCCCUAUGAGCACCUCCGAAACGUCGUCUCCCACUGAAAGUCUAAAGCCGUUAGAGUCCUGGAAAAUUCGCUUCAACGAGGAGUCGAACCCAGGACCUCAGGUGCUACUGAGAUCUUUAUAACCACUAGGUUGCAGGCU